This 429-nucleotide ribosomal RNA is filed under the name Bacteroidota bacterium. RNAcentral's name for it is "Bacteroidetes bacterium partial 16S ribosomal RNA". It matches the Rfam family "Bacterial small subunit ribosomal RNA", at positions 355 to 776 of the family's 1533-position model. The record is from RNAcentral. Lineage: Bacteria; Pseudomonadati; Bacteroidota.
UAGGGAAUCUUCGGCAAUGGGGGGAACCCUGACCGAGCAACGCCGCGUGAGUGAAGAAGGUUUUCGUAUCGUAAAGCUCUGUUGUUAAGGAAGAACGAGUGUGAGAAUGGAAAGUUCAUACUGUGACGGUACUUAACCAGAAAGGGACGGCUAACUACGUGCCAGCAGCCGCGGUAAUACGUAGGUCCCGAGCGUUGUCCGGAUUUAUUGGGCGUAAAGCGAGCGCAGGCGGUUAGAAAAGUCUGAAGUGAAAGGCAGUGGCUCAACCAUUGUAGGCUUUGGAAACUGUUUAACUUGAGUGCAGAAGGGGAGAGUGGAAUUCCAUGUGUAGCGGUGAAAUGCGUAGAUAUAUGGAGGAACACCGGUGGCGAAAGCGGCUCUCUGGUCUGUAACUGACGCUGAGGCUCGAAAGCGUGGGGAGCGAACAGG